This is a long non-coding RNA of Linepithema humile (Argentine ant), 348 nucleotides long. RefSeq lists it as uncharacterized. The record is from RefSeq and is a predicted model, not a curated record. NCBI's taxonomy places the organism in Eukaryota, Metazoa, Arthropoda, Insecta, Hymenoptera, Formicidae.
GAACUUUGUGCGACUUGGUACGAUUUUGCAAUUACUGCAGUUUAUAUACAGCACGAGAAACGAAUAAAUGGAAGGAAUGAAACAAAUGUUUGGAAGUUUGCCACUGUGAAGAAUGCUACUUACCUACGUUUAGACUUUUAUAUAAAAUGGAGUCUACAUAAUUGAACACCAUCUUUGAUAUCUAGAAAAACAGAAAAUGUUCCAGCUUAAACUGGACAGUUGGACAGUAAUAUAUUUUUUUACAUUAAGAAAUGUAAAAGUUGGACUGAACGUGGAAAAGUGGAACGUGCUGGCGAACUGUGCAAUUAAAUUGUGUGGCUGAACGUGCAGCGGGGACAUGGAAUGGCA